AGAGUUGAUCAUGGCUCAGGAUGAACGCUAGCGACAGGCUUAACACGUGCAAGUCGAGGGGCAGCAUAAAAGUAGCAAUACUUGGUGGCGACCGGCGCACGGGUGAGUAACGCGUAUGCAACCUACCUAUCAGAGGGGAAUAACCCGGCGAAAGUCGGACUAAUACCGCAUAAAACAGGGGCACCGCAUGGUGAUAUUUGUUAAAGAAAUUCGCUGAUGGAUGGGCAUGCGUUCCAUUAGGUAGUUGGUGAGGUAACGGCUCACCAAGCCGACGAUGGAUAGGGGAACUGAGAGGUUGGUCCCCCACACUGGUACUGAGACACGGACCAGACUCCUACGGGAGGCAGCAGUGAGGAAUAUUGGUCAAUGGGCGGGAGCCUGAACCAGCCAAGUCGCGUGAAAGGAAGAAGGAUCUAUGGUUCGUAAACUUCUUUUGCAGGGGAAUAAAGUGCAGGACGUGUCCUGUCUUGUAUGUACCCUGAGAAUAAGGAUCGGCUAACUCCGUGCCAGCAGCGGC
Molecule: ribosomal RNA, 517 nt
Filed under: uncultured bacterium
Lineage: Bacteria
Description: bacterial SSU rRNA
Rfam family: Bacterial small subunit ribosomal RNA
Source: RNAcentral